Molecule: transfer RNA, 71 nt
Filed under: Omnitrophica bacterium RIFCSPHIGHO2_02_FULL_45_28
Lineage: Bacteria; Pseudomonadati; Candidatus Omnitrophota
Also listed under: 3 other names
Description: tRNA-Gln
Rfam family: tRNA
About the family: Transfer RNA (tRNA) molecules are approximately 80 nucleotides in length. Their secondary structure includes four short double-helical elements and three loops (D, anti-codon, and T loops).
Source: RNAcentral
UGGGGGAUGGUGUAAUGGUAGCACAACAGGCUCUGGACCUGUUUGUCUAGGUUCGAAUCCUAGUCCCCCAG